Molecule: transfer RNA, 74 nt
Filed under: Gossypium arboreum
Lineage: Eukaryota; Viridiplantae; Streptophyta; Magnoliopsida; Malvales; Malvaceae
Rfam family: tRNA
About the family: Transfer RNA (tRNA) molecules are approximately 80 nucleotides in length.
Source: Rfam by way of RNAcentral
GCGCUCUUAGUUCAGUUCAGUAAAACGUGGGUCUCCAAAGCCCGAUGUCGUAGGUUCAAAUCGUACAGAGCGUG